UACGGAGGGUGCAAGCGUUAAUCGGAAUGACUGGGCGUAAAGCGCACGCAGGCGGUCUGUUAAGUUGGAUGUGAAAUCCCCGGGCUUAACCUGGGAACUGCAUUCAAAACUGACAGGCUGGAGUCUCGUAGAGGGGGGUAGAAUUCCAGGUGUAGCGGUGAAAUGCGUAGAGAUCUGGAGGAAUACCGGUGGCGAAGGCGGCCCCCUGGACGAAGACUGACGCUCAGGUGCGAAAGCGUGGGGAGCAAACAGG
RNAcentral lists this ribosomal RNA (253 nucleotides) under uncultured bacterium. RNAcentral describes it as "partial 16S ribosomal RNA". It matches the Rfam family "Bacterial small subunit ribosomal RNA", at positions 524 to 776 of the family's 1533-position model. The record is from RNAcentral.